Molecule: ribosomal RNA, 731 nt
Filed under: uncultured bacterium
Lineage: Bacteria
Description: bacterial SSU rRNA
Rfam family: Bacterial small subunit ribosomal RNA
Source: RNAcentral
AACAGGAUUAGAUACCCUGGUAGUCCACGCUGUAAACGAUGUCGACUUGGAGGUUGUGCCCUUGAGGCGUGGCUUCCGGAGCUAACGCGUUAAGUCGACCGCCUGGGGAGUACGGCCGCAAGGUUAAAACUCAAAUGAAUUGACGGGGGCCCGCACAAGCGGUGGAGCAUGUGGUUUAAUUCGAUGCAACGCGAAGAACCUUACCUACUCUUGACAUCCAGAGAAUUUGCUAGAGAUAGCUUAGUGCCUUCGGGAACUCUGAGACAGGUGCUGCAUGGCUGUCGUCAGCUCGUGUUGUGAAAUGUUGGGUUAAGUCCCGCAACGAGCGCAACCCUUAUCCUUUGUUGCCAGCGAGUAAUGUCGGGAACUCAAAGGAGACUGCCGGUGAUAAGCCGGAGGAAGGUGGGGAUGACGUCAAGUCAUCAUGGCCCUUACGAGUAGGGCUACACACGUGCUACAAUGGCAUAUACAAAGAGAAGCGAACUCGCGAGAGCAAGCGGACCUCAUAAAGUAUGUCGUAGUCCGGAUUGGAGUCUGCAACUCGACUCCAUGAAGUCGGAAUCGCUAGUAAUCGUAGAUCAGAAUGCUACGGUGAAUACGUUCCCGGGCCUUGUACACACCGCCCGUCACACCAUGGGAGUGGGUUGCAAAAGAAGUAGGUAGCUUAACCUUCGGGAGGGCGCUUACCACUUUGUGAUUCAUGACUGGGGCGAAGUCGUAACAAGGUAACC